AUUUAAGCAGUCAAACCCUAGUCCGAGCAGUCCCAUCCAAUCCAUCCGUCCCAUCCACCGCCACCUCCUCGAUUUCCUCUCCUACCCAAUCCACCAGCGGCCAGCCUCCACCUUCAUCGGGAUCCAUCCCCAACCAGCUAACCACUGGCGAUCUCCUCGAUCCACUGCCCAAUCCCAACGAGCCUCCGAACACCUCCCUUGUUCUCCGCGCCUCCUCCUUCCGCAGCCCGAGAGGCUCGUCCCCUCGUCCCGUGCCUCAAUCCAGGAUGGAUCGGGAGUAGCUCUGCCCUUCUCCAGCCGCCGGCGACCAGGAUCCGCACGUCGUGCCCGUCGCCUCUCCUUCCAUCCCGUCUUUCCUCUAGCUCUCUCUCCCCCUCACUUUUCUCUCUCUUUUGUCUCUGUCCCAAAGGAGUUCCCAUCCAUGGUGCCAGGAGAAGAGCGCCCCGACCACCUCGUCACCAGCUCGCCGGAGCCACCCGCUGGAGCCGAGGCCGUCACCUCCUCAGUUCGUCGCGCCGCUACCAGACCCGACAGGCCUUCGUCGCCCUUGCCCGUUCCCGGCCGGAUCCCACCUGCAAGGUCCCGUCCCCGCUGUCGGUGACCGCGUCCCGCUCAUCCCGGAUCUCCCCUGCUUCUACGAGCACUCGAGGAUGAGGACGAGCCCCUGCCUCCUCGACACGAACUGGCCCGAUCCGGCCAUCUCCGACGCCUCCUCGCCGGAUCCCACGCGUCAAGUCCGCCGCCCGCUGCCGUCUUCCCAGCGAACCUCCCGUGCACCCCUGCGUCGUCCGCGUCACCAAGUUCUGUGCGUCGUCAUGCCCGUUGACCAAAUCCGCUGCUUCGUCCUGUUCGAGGGAGACGACCGAGCAAUUCCCAGAUCCGCACCUGGGCCUCUCCCGCCGCAGUGCCCCAAGGCCCAAGCCGCUCCCCUCGCCCGGCCUGCCUGCCUCUCCACCGACCUGGGCCUCAGCCCAUGUUCUAGUGAUGUUGCGAUUGUGAGGAUUCAUUGGACUACGUCGGGUCGUCUACUUCGUGGAUUCGGUCUUCUUCCUAGCGGAAUCUCAGGCAAGAUGUUCAUCACCUUGGAUCUCACUACUAUCUUUGCUAUGCUAGUUGUCUCGAUGCUAUUGCUAUGUCGCGCUACCUACCACUUGUUUAUCAAGCCUCCCAAAUUGCCAUGAUACCCUCUAGCCUUUUCCAUCAUCCUAGCAAACCGUUGUUUGGCUAUGUUGCCGCUUUGCUCAGCCCCUCUUAUAACGUUGCUAGUUGCGGGUUGUUCCAUGUUGGGACAUGGAUAUCAUGGAUAUCAUGGGAUAUCACAAUAUCUCUUAUUUAAUUAAUGCACAUAUAUACUUGUAAUGGGUGGAAGGCUCGGCCUUUUGCCUGGUGUUUUGUUCCACUCAUGCCGCCCUAGUUUCCGUCAUACCGGUGUUAUGUUCCUUGAUUUUGCGUCCCUAACACGAUGAGGGUUUAUAGGCCCCUCUUGACACUUCGCUUUGAAUAAAACUUUUCCAGCAAGGCCAAACUUUGGUUUUUUACCAUUUGCCUAAUAACAACUAAAACUUGCAUCGGGACCAGCUAGCACCCGAGGACUCUUAAUCAACCCCCGGGCCAGUGCUCCUCAUGAGUGUUGGUCCAAACCUGUCAACCGCCGGUGACCGCCAGGGGCAACUCUGGAUUUGGCCUACUGGAAGUUUGGACAAUCCGAUCGUGGCCUGAGACGAGAUAUGCGCGGCUACUAUCAGGGUGUCGACACGUCGGGAGGUCUUGCUGUACUUGUUUUACCAUUGUCGAAAUGUCUUGUGCAUCGGGAUUCCGAGUCUGGUCGGAGGGUCCUGAGAUGGAGGAUUGUCUCCGCGGAUCGUGAGCUUGUCAUGGGCUAAGUUGGGACACCCCUGCAGGGUUUAAACUUUUGAGAGCCGUGCCCGCGGUUAUGUGGCAGAUGGAAAUUUGUUAAUAUCUGGUUGUAGUGGACUUGAACUAAACUAAAUUAAAAUACACCAACCGUGUGCGUAACCGUGGCCGUCUCUUUUCGAGUGAGUUUGAGAAGAGAACACGGUGGGGUUAUGUUUGAACGUAAGUAGUUCAGGAUCACUUAUUGAUCAUUACUAGUUGGCGACCGUUUGCGUAGUUUCUCUUCUUACUCUUGUACUCGUAAGCUAGCCACCAUACAAUGCUUAGUCGCUUGCUGCAACCUCACUACUUAUCCAUUCCAUACCCAUUAAGCUUUGCUAGUCUUGAUAUCCAUGGUAAUGGGAUUGCUGAGUCCUCGUGGCUCAUAGUUUACUACAACAACAGUUGCAGGUACAUGUAAUGCGAUGAGAUGACGUGAGAGCGAGGCUUGCUUAUUUUGGAGUUCUUCUGCUUCUCCUUCUUCGAUCAAGGGAUGGGUUCCGGGUGGGGGAGCUUGGGAUUAGCAGGGUGGAUGUCGUUCUUCUUUUCGUUUGGUUUCAUCCCUAGUCGGAUCCCGCUCUUCUGUAUGAUGAUUGCUAUGUAUUGAAGAAUUAUUGUAUUGAUGUUGUAGCUUGUGGCGAGUGUAAGCCUUUAUCUUGUAUUCUCAUCUAUUCAGUACAUGGUAUGUUGUAAUGAUAUCCACCUUGCUAUGCGCUCGAAAUGCGGUUGUGCCC
RNAcentral lists this ribosomal RNA (2627 nucleotides) under Triticum aestivum (bread wheat). RNAcentral's name for it is "partial small subunit ribosomal RNA". Lineage: Eukaryota; Viridiplantae; Streptophyta; Magnoliopsida; Poales; Poaceae. The record is from RNAcentral.